UCAAAACUGGUACUAUGGGCGUAGCAU
Molecule: small RNA, 27 nt
Filed under: Bombyx mori (domestic silkworm)
Lineage: Eukaryota; Metazoa; Arthropoda; Insecta; Lepidoptera; Bombycidae
Description: ovarian small RNA-24363
Source: RNAcentral